RNAcentral lists this ribosomal RNA (468 nucleotides) under uncultured bacterium. RNAcentral's name for it is "partial 16S ribosomal RNA". It matches the Rfam family "Bacterial small subunit ribosomal RNA", at positions 28 to 507 of the family's 1533-position model. The record is from RNAcentral.
GACGAACGCUGGCGGCGUGCUUAACACAUGCAAGUCGAACGGAAAGGCCCUGCUUUUGUGGGGUGCUCGAGUGGCGAACGGGUGAGUAACACGUGAGUAACCUGCCCUUGACUUUGGGAUAACUUCAGGAAACUGGGGCUAAUACCGGAUAGGAGCUCCCGCUGCAUGGUGGGGGUUGGAAAGUUUCGGCGGUUGGGGAUGGACUCGCGGCUUCUCAGCUUGUUGGUGGGGUAGUGGCUUACCAAGGCUUUGACGGGUAGCCGGCCUGAGAGGGUGACCGGCCACAUUGGGACUGAGGUACGGCCCAGACUCCUACGGGAGGCAGCAGUGGGGAAUAUUGCACAAUGGGCGGAAGCCUGAUGCAGCAACGCCGCGUGCGGGAUGACGGCCUUCGGGUUGUAAACCGCUUUCGCCUGUGACGAAGCGGGAGUGACGGUAAUGGGUAAAGAAGCACCGGCUAACUACGUG